This 432-nucleotide ribosomal RNA is filed under the name uncultured bacterium. RNAcentral describes it as "partial 16S ribosomal RNA". It matches the Rfam family "Bacterial small subunit ribosomal RNA", at positions 29 to 506 of the family's 1533-position model. The record is from RNAcentral.
AACGAACGCUGGCGGCAUGCCUAACACAUGCAAGUCGAACGAGACCUGCGGGUUUAGUGGCGCACGGAUGCGUAACGGGUGGGGACCUGCCCUUGGGUUCGCAAUGACUCCCCGGAUGGGGUGCGAAUACCGGAGCUAAUCUUCGGUCCAAAGAGUUAUCGCCUUUGGGUGGGCCUGCGGUGGAUUGCCUAGGUGGUAGGGUAAAAGGCUACAAAGGCGGGGAUCCAUAGCUGGUAUUGGAGGAUGGUCAGCCACACUGGGACUGGGACAAGGCCCAGACUCCUGCGAGAGGCAGCAGUGGGGAAUAAUGGACGAUGGGCGAAAGACGGAGCCAUCAAGGCCGCGAGAGUGAUGAAGGCGUUAGGGUUGUAAAGCACUUUUACCCGGGAUGAUAAUGAGAGAACCGGAAGAAUAAGCUCGGGCAAAUUCCGG